RNAcentral lists this ribosomal RNA (248 nucleotides) under uncultured Streptococcus sp. RNAcentral's name for it is "partial 16S ribosomal RNA". It matches the Rfam family "Bacterial small subunit ribosomal RNA", at positions 1136 to 1382 of the family's 1533-position model. Lineage: Bacteria; Bacillati; Bacillota; Bacilli; Lactobacillales; Streptococcaceae. The record is from RNAcentral.
CACUCUAGCGAGACUGCCGGUAAUAAACCGGAGGAAGGUGGGGAUGACGUCAAAUCAUCAUGCCCCUUAUGACCCUGGGCUACACACGUGCUACAAUGGUUGGUACAACGAGUUGCGAGUCGGUGACGGCGAGCUAAUCUCUUAAAGCCAAUCUCAGUUCGGAUUGUAGGCUGCAACUCGCCUACAUGAAGUCGGAAUCGCUAGUAAUCGCGGAUCAGCACGCCGCGGUGAAUACGUUCCCGGGCCUU